AACCAGCUCUUCAAGUGGUCGGGAUAAUUAUUGGGCUUAAAGUGUCCGUAGCCGGUUUAGUAAGUUCCUGGUAAAAUCGGGUAGCUUAACUAUCUAUAUGCUAGGAAUACUGCUAUACUAGAGGGCGGGAGAGGUCUGAGGUACUACAGGGGUAGGGGUGAAAUCUUAUAAUCCUUGUAGGACCACCAGUGGCGAAGGCGUCAGACUGGAACGCGCCUGACGGUGAGGGACGAAAGCCAGGGGGAGCGAACCGGAUUAGAUACCCGGGUAGUCCUGGCUGUAAACGAUGCAUACUAGGUGAUGGCACGGCCAUGAGCCGUGUCAGUGCCGUAGGGAAACCGUUAAGUGUGCCGCCUGGGAAGUACGGUCGCAAGGCUAAAACUUAAAGGAAUUGGCGGGGGAGCACCACAAGGGGUGAAGCCUGCGGUUC
RNAcentral lists this ribosomal RNA (430 nucleotides) under uncultured archaeon. RNAcentral describes it as "bacterial SSU rRNA". It matches the Rfam family "Archaeal small subunit ribosomal RNA", at positions 474 to 903 of the family's 1478-position model. The record is from RNAcentral.